Molecule: ribosomal RNA, 441 nt
Filed under: uncultured bacterium
Lineage: Bacteria
Description: partial 16S ribosomal RNA
Rfam family: Bacterial small subunit ribosomal RNA
Source: RNAcentral
CCUACGGGAGGCAGCAGUGGGGAAUAUUGCACAAUGGGGGAAACCCUGAUGCAGCGACGCCGCGUGAGUGAAGAAGUAUUUCGGUAUGUAAAGCUCUAUCAGCAGGGAAGAAGAAAGACGGUACCUGACUAAGAAGCCCCGGCUAACUACGUGCCAGCAGCCGCGGUAAUACGGAGGGGGGAAGCGUUAUCCGGAUUUACUGGGUGUAACGGGAGCGUAGACGGCUGUGCAAGUCUGAAGUGAAAGCCCAGGGCUCAACCCUGGGACUGCUUUGGAAACUGUGGAGCUAGAGUGCUGGAGAGGUAAGUGGAAUUCCUAGUGUAGCGGUGAAAUGCGUAGAUAUUAGGAGGAACACCAGUGGCGAAGGCGGCUUACUGGACAGUAACUGACGUUGAGGCUCGAAAGCGUGGGGAGCAAACAGGAUUAGAUACCCGUGUAGUC